This 375-nucleotide unclassified non-coding RNA is filed under the name uncultured Actinomycetes bacterium. RNAcentral's name for it is "uncultured actinobacterium contains 16S-23S intergenic spacer region". The record is from RNAcentral. Lineage: Bacteria; Bacillati; Actinomycetota; Actinomycetes.
UCCGAGUUGACCCCGGCAGUCUCCCACGAGUCCCCGGCAUAACCCGCUGGCAACAUAAGACAAGGGUUGCGCUCGUUGCGGGACUUAACCCAACAUCUCACGACACGAGCUGACGACAACCAUGCACCACCUGUGCACGGACCUUGCGGGGGAACCAUCUCUGGAACUUUCCCGUGCAUGUCAAGCCUUGGUAAGGUUCUUCGCGUCGCGUCGAAUUAAGCAACAUGCUCCGCCGCUUGUGCGGGCCCCCGUCAAUUCCUUUGAGUUUUAGCCUUGCGGCCGUAGUCCCCAGGCGGGGUGCUUAUUGCGUUAGCGACGGCACCGGAGGGGUCGAUACCCCCACACCUAGCGCCCAACGUUUACGGCGUGGACUAC